GAUGAACGCUGGCGGCGUGCUUAACACAUGCAAGUCGAACGGAAAGGCUCCUGCUUGCAGGGGUACUCGAGUGGCGAACGGGUGAGUAACACGUGGGUGAUCUGCCCCGCACUUCGGGAUAAGCCUGGGAAACUGGGUCUAAUACCGGAUAGGACGAUGGUUUGGAUGCCAUUGUGGAAAGUUUUUCGGUGUGGGAUGAGCUCGCGGCCUAUCAGCUUGUUGGUGGGGUAAUGGCCUACCAAGGCGUCGACGGGUAGCCGGCCUGAGAGGGUGUACGGCCACAUUGGGACUGAGAUACGGCCCAGACUCCUACGGGAGGCAGCAGUGGGGAAUAUUGCACAAUGGGCGCAAGCCUGAUGCAGCGACGCCGCGUGGGGGAUGACGGCCUUCGGGUUGUAAACUCCUUUCGCUAGGGACGAAGCGCAAGUGACGGUACCUGGAGAAGAAGCACCGGCUAACUACGUG
Molecule: ribosomal RNA, 465 nt
Filed under: uncultured bacterium
Lineage: Bacteria
Description: partial 16S ribosomal RNA
Rfam family: Bacterial small subunit ribosomal RNA
Source: RNAcentral